UACGUAGGGGGCAAGCGUUAUCCGGAUUUACUGGGUGUAAAGGGAGCGCAGACGGAACUGCAAGUCUGAUGUGAAAGCCCGGGGCUCAACCGCGGGACUGCAUCGGAUACUGUAGAUCUGGAGUGCCGGAGGGGCAAGCGGAAUUCCUGGUGUAGCGGUGAAAUGCGUAGAUAUCAGGAGGAACACCGGCGGCGAAGGCGGCUUGCUGGACGGCAACUGACGUUGAGGCUCGAAAGCGUGGGGAGCAAACAGGAUUAGAUACCCGCGUA
This 269-nucleotide ribosomal RNA is filed under the name uncultured prokaryote. RNAcentral's name for it is "partial 16S ribosomal RNA". It matches the Rfam family "Bacterial small subunit ribosomal RNA", at positions 524 to 792 of the family's 1533-position model. The record is from RNAcentral.